GUUAACCGAAACUUCUUACGCCUUAUUUUUGUGAUGUACAAUCCGCAUUUUUGACUUCAACGACUUCAAAAUCUCCACAAGUGACGGUAUAGCCGGAUAUUGUGAAGUCCAGAUAUUAUACUACAACCGAAUGAUACACAAAUAUCAUAUUUAUGGUCAUGAUUGACAUACGAGACAUUGAUUUGCCUUACAGUACAGAAAAGCGCAAAGUAAACUUUGACAUAAAACAGUUGACUAAAAAUAUUACUGGCUUCCGACAGACCAACAUCUUUAGUAGGUACUUAUUCAUUUGUAAGGACUGUCAACAUACAAAUAUGUUCAAUGUAUGCGAAUAUGGGAGCAUACUGAUGCAGGUAGAUGAUAA
Molecule: unclassified non-coding RNA, 364 nt
Filed under: Bombus terrestris (buff-tailed bumblebee)
Lineage: Eukaryota; Metazoa; Arthropoda; Insecta; Hymenoptera; Apidae
Description: misc RNA ENSBTSG00005030213.1
Source: RNAcentral